UAACAGGAAGAAGCUUGCUUCUUUGCUGACGAGUGGCGGACGGGUGAGCAAUGUCUGGGAAACUGCCUGAUGGAGGGGGAUAACUACUGGAAACGGUAGCUAAUACCGCAUAACGUCGCAAGACCAAAGAGGGGGACCUUCGGGCCUCUUGCCAUCGGAUGUGCCCAGAUGGGAUUAGCUAGUAGGUGGGGUAACGGCUCACCUAGGCGACGAUCCCUAGCUGGUCUGAGAGGAUGACCAGCCACACUGGAACUGAGACACGGUCCAGACUCCUACGGGAGGCAGCAGUGGGGAAUAUUGCACAAUGGGCGCAAGCCUGAUGCAGCCAUGCCGCGUGUAUGAAGAAGGCCUUCGGGUUGUAAAGUACUUUCAGCGGGGAGGAAGGGAGUAAAGUUAAUACCUUUGCUCAUUGACGUUACCCGCAGAAGAAGCACCGGCUAACUCCGUGCCAGCAGCCGCGGUAAUACGGAGGGUGCAAGCGUUAAUCGGAAUUACUGGGCGUAAAGCGCACGCAGGCGGUUUGUUAAGUCAGAUGUGAAAUCCCCGGGCUCAACCUGGGAACUGCAUCUGAUACUGGCAAGCUUGAGUCUCGUAGAGGGGGGUAGAAUUCCAGGUGUAGCGGUGAAAUGCGUAGAGAUCUGGAGGAAUACCGGUGGCGAAGGCGGCCCCUGGACGAAGACUGACGCUCA
Molecule: ribosomal RNA, 689 nt
Filed under: uncultured Pseudomonadota bacterium
Lineage: Bacteria; Pseudomonadati; Pseudomonadota
Description: bacterial SSU rRNA
Rfam family: Bacterial small subunit ribosomal RNA
Source: RNAcentral